RNAcentral lists this ribosomal RNA (301 nucleotides) under uncultured bacterium. RNAcentral's name for it is "partial 16S ribosomal RNA". It matches the Rfam family "Bacterial small subunit ribosomal RNA", at positions 510 to 808 of the family's 1533-position model. The record is from RNAcentral.
CGCAGCCGCGGUAAUACGUAGGUGGCAAGCGUUGUCCGGAAUUAUUGGGCGUAAAGGGCUCGCAGGCGGUUUCUUAAGUCUGAUGUGAAAGCCCCCGGCUCAACCGGGGAGGGUCAUUGGAAACUGGGAAACUUGAGUGCAGGAGAGGAGAGUGGAAUUCCACGUGUAGCGGUGAAAUGCGUAGAGAUGUGGAGGAACACCAGUGGCGAAGGCGACUCUCUGGUCUGUAACUGACGCUGAGGAGCGAAAGCGUGGGGAGCGAACAGGAUUAGAUACCCGGGUAGUCCCUGUCUCUUAUACA